Non-coding RNA from Oryza barthii, 206 nucleotides. NCBI's taxonomy places the organism in Eukaryota, Viridiplantae, Streptophyta, Magnoliopsida, Poales, Poaceae. The record is from Rfam.
UAUAAGUGCAACCAUAAGUUUCCACGUCCAACUUUGAUCGUUCAUCUUAUUUAAAAAAAUUUUAUAAUUAAUAUUUUUAUUGUUAUGAGAUGAUAAAACAUGGAUAGUACUUUACUCGUGACUUAUGUUUUUAAUUUUUUUUCAAAAAAUUUUCAAAUAAGACGGACGGUCAAAAUUGGGCGCGAAAAAUUAUGGCUGCACUUAUA